UAAAUAAAUAGUAACUACCAAAAAAUAUGGGCUUAAAGUGAGGAAAAGCCCAAAUCUGGGCGCACUGCAUAACAGUAAAGGGGGGGGGGGUCCGGUUAGCCAGAGAACCUUAGGCCCAAAACUAAAAGGGGAGCUCGGUCAACCCUGUUGACCCCAUGUAUCGCCAUCGUCCGUCAGAUCCGUGGAUCUGACCUGGUCAAACAAAUCAACGAACGGAUGAGGAGGGCACACGGUAAUGGAUGGUGGUACAACUGCAUAAGAGUGCCUGGUUGACCGUUGGUCAACGCCGACGAGGCUCACCACCGGAGUGACACUUGUCACUCAUGCAUCGAGCUAAAUAGGGGUAUUUAACCUGAGCAUUUGAGAAAAUGAGUUCAUUUGAUGAACUCUUUUCUCUCUCCUCAUCUCAGAACUUAAAACACUCUGCAAACAAGCCCACCCUCCUCCGAUCAACCUGCCGGAGAAGACGGUGGUUGCCGGCCAACGACGGUGGCACCACCUUAUUCUCCGGCAAACCACCACUCAAAAACCGGAACGUCAAAUACUAACCCUACCUUGUUUUGGACGGAGAAUCCAAAUCCGACCUUAACUUUUCCUAAAUCCUCCUCAAACGACUGGAUCGACCCUCCCAACCAGACAAAAAUUCAAAACUCCGACGAAAUAAACUUUCAACGCAACCUAACAAACCCUCGAUUCCUUCUAACAGACAACUCAAAACAAAAUCAAUAGCAAGAAAUAAUUCAAACCCCAAACCCUAAUUUCAAAAUUAAAACCUCCCUAGUUGUAAUUUACAAAAAUCGUUAAAGGGGUUUUACUCAGUUCAGAACGACGAAUAUAACGACUUAAAGGUUUCAAGUAAAAGAGGGAGAAAAAGGCUACUUGGUCAGAGCGGAUCCGACGGUGAGAUAUCCUUCGACGCGGUUCAGAUAAGUCCUUUCUCCGAACUUUCUCCUUCUUCUUCUUCUCUGCUCUUCUCUGUUUGCUAUUAGUUUCUGUGUUGGUCUGAGCUCAUCGACGUUAGAAUUUCAGCGUGAAACUCUAAUGUAGAUUUAAAAAAAUCGUGAGCUUUUCUGAAAGGUGUUCUUGGAAAUUUUUGCAGAAUAACGGUCCCCCCUCUUCAAUGAUUGAACUCCCUCUCUUAUAGAUGGGUGCAUGUGGUUCUUUCGAUUGGGAGCUGGCAGGGAUUAUAGGAUCAUUCCGUUAGAUUUUCAUCUCCCUACGAUUUGGUAUCUUGCCAAUCUGUUAGGUUUGAAUUGGUUUAUUUUUGUCUAUAGUGAGGUCUUCGUAUCUGUCAAGCUUGGGUGGUCCCCAUUAGCAUUAACAAACAAUUUUCAACUUUUUAAUAUCUCUUUAUUGUUUCAAACGGGUUUUGAUAUAAGCUGGUUAUGCACAAGUCGUCUUGGUGCGAGCGCGAGGAGGAUGACGAUAAAGUGACUUGCACACUUAGCAUGAAUUUAAUUCAAUGUAAGCUAUGGUUCUGGUUCGACACUCUCUCUCUAGUUGGAUGGAUUCAAGUUACACGACAUUUUCUUUUGGUCAAAACUUGGUUUUGCAAUUUGUAAUUAAAUAUCAUACCUAUUCCUAAUCAUGAUUUUGGAACAGAAACAUGUAUAAUUUCCCAUUCAUAUGUAUGGCUCUAAAUUUGUGAAAAGAAAGAACUUGAAUUGCAUUCGGUGCACAUAAACAACUCUUUGGAUCACUUAAGCAACUUACAAACACGUUUCAAAAAUGUAAUAUUAAUUUCAGAACUCUUUAACCAAUGGUAA
Lathyrus oleraceus (garden pea) is the source of this 1766-nucleotide long non-coding RNA. RefSeq lists it as uncharacterized. The transcript is spliced from 2 exons. The record is from RefSeq and is a predicted model, not a curated record. Lineage: Eukaryota; Viridiplantae; Streptophyta; Magnoliopsida; Fabales; Fabaceae.